RNAcentral lists this ribosomal RNA (741 nucleotides) under uncultured bacterium. Its description in RNAcentral is "bacterial SSU rRNA". It matches the Rfam family "Bacterial small subunit ribosomal RNA", at positions 111 to 850 of the family's 1533-position model. The record is from RNAcentral.
UAAUAUAUCGGAACGUGCCCAGUCGUGGGGGAUAACGCAGCGAAAGCUGUGCUAAUACCGCAUACGAUCUAUGGAUGAAAGCGGGGGACCGUAAGGCCUCGCGCGAUUGGAGCGGCCGAUAUCAGAUUAGCUUGUUGGUGGGUAAAAGCCCACCAAGGCGACGAUCUGUAGCUGGUCUGAGAGGACGACCAGCCACACUGGAACUGAGACACGGUCCAGACUCCUACGGGAGGCAGCAGUGGGGAAUUUUGGACAAUGGGCGCAAGCCUGAUCCAGCAAUGCCGCGUGCAGGAUGAAGGCCUUCGGGUUGUAAACUGCUUUUGUACGGAACGAAACGGCUCUUUCUAAUAAAGAGGGCUAAUGACGGUACCGUAAGAAUAAGCACCGGCUAACUACGUGCCAGCAGCCGCGGUAAUACGUAGGGUGCGAGCGUUAAUCGGAAUUACUGGGCGUAAAGCGUGCGCAGGCGGUUAUAUAAGACAGAUGUGAAAUCCCCGGGCUCAACCUGGGACCUGCAUUUGUGACUGUAUAGCUAGAGUACGGUAGAGGGGGAUGGAAUUCCGCGUGUAGCAGUGAAAUGCGUAGAUAUGCGGAGGAACACCGAUGGCGAAGGCAAUCCCCUGGACCUGUACUGACGCUCAUGCACGAAAGCGUGGGGAGCAAACAGGAUUAGAUACCCUGGUAGUCCACCCCCUAAACGAUGUCAACUGGUUGUUGGGUCUUCACUGACUCAGUAACGAA